UGUGUAGGCGGAAGAGUAAGCGUCUUGUGAAAUCCCUCGGCUUAACCGGGGAAUUGCUUGGCAUACUGCCAUUCUUGAGGUCGGUAGGGGUGCGUGGAACUCUUGGUGGAGCGGUGGAAUGCGUAGAUAUCAAGAGGAACGCCCGUGGAGAAGUCGGCGCACUGGGCCGAUCCUGACACUGAGACACGAAAGCGUGGGGAGCAAACAGGAUUAGAUACCCUGGUAGUCC
Molecule: ribosomal RNA, 229 nt
Filed under: uncultured bacterium
Lineage: Bacteria
Description: partial 16S ribosomal RNA
Rfam family: Bacterial small subunit ribosomal RNA
Source: RNAcentral